GAGGCAGGCCGGGCAAUCGCGGUGCGGCGCAUCGAGGAAGGUCCGGACUCCACAGGGCAGGGUAGCGGCUAACAGCCGUCCGGCAAGCAAAAGCGCGAGCUUGCGCGAGCCGAGGAACAGGGCCACAGAGACGAGUCUGCGGCGAGGGCACGUCCACGGGCGUGCACCGGCACGGCUACUCCGUGCUGCGCAGGCGGAAACGCGUGCGGCGCUGCAGGGUGAAACGCGGUAACCUCUAUCCGGAGCAACAUCAAAUAGGCAUGCGCAGGCCUCGGCCAGACGGGCGGCCCGUCCGAGCAUGCGGGUAGAUGGCUCGAGCCCGACAGUAAUGUCGGGCCCAGAUGAAUGAUUGCCUGUCCGGCUCGCCGGGCAUACAGAAUCCGGCCUAUAGGCCUGUCUCACUU
This 404-nucleotide RNase P RNA is filed under the name Pusillimonas sp. TS35. Its description in RNAcentral is "RNase P RNA component class A". It matches the Rfam family "Bacterial RNase P class A". Rfam says of the family: Ribonuclease P (RNase P) is a ubiquitous endoribonuclease, found in archaea, bacteria and eukarya as well as chloroplasts and mitochondria. Its best characterised activity is the generation of mature 5'-ends of tRNAs by cleaving the 5'-leader elements of precursor-tRNAs. Cellular RNase Ps are ribonucleoproteins. Lineage: Bacteria; Pseudomonadati; Pseudomonadota; Betaproteobacteria; Burkholderiales; Alcaligenaceae. The record is from RNAcentral.